Molecule: long non-coding RNA, 287 nt
Filed under: Marmota monax (woodchuck)
Lineage: Eukaryota; Metazoa; Chordata; Mammalia; Rodentia; Sciuridae
Source: RNAcentral
ACAUUUUCUUUAUCCAUUUUUCUACUGAUGGGUACUUAGGCUGGUUCUAUAACUUGGCUAUUGUGAAUCGUGCUGCUAUAAACAUUGGUGUACAGGUACCAUUGUAGUAUGUUGAUUUUGGUUCUUUUGGAUAAAGACCAAAGAGUGGGAUAGCUGGGUCAUAUAGUGGUUCCAUUCAUUCCUAGUCUUUGGAGGAAUCUCCAUAUUGCUUUCCAAGCAUUAAUUGGAGAACAGAUAGCCUCUGUAACAAAUAGUGCUGGCAAAAUAUGGAAAGCCACGUAUAGAAG